Molecule: transfer RNA, 74 nt
Organism: Pseudomonas agarici
Lineage: Bacteria; Pseudomonadati; Pseudomonadota; Gammaproteobacteria; Pseudomonadales; Pseudomonadaceae
Rfam family: tRNA
About the family: Transfer RNA (tRNA) molecules are approximately 80 nucleotides in length. Their secondary structure includes four short double-helical elements and three loops (D, anti-codon, and T loops).
Source: Rfam
GGGCCUAUAGCUCAGUUGGUUAGAGCAGAGGACUCAUAAUCCUUUGGUCCACGGUUCGAGUCCGUGUGGGCCCA